CGUGCUUAACACAUGCAAGUCGAACGGUAAGGCCCUUCGGGGUACACGGGUGGCGAACGGGUGAGUAACACGUGGGUGAUCUGCCCUGCACUUUGGGAUAAGCCUGGGAAACUGGGUCUAAUACCGAAUACACCCUGCUGGUCGCAUGGCCUGGUGGGGGAAAGCUUUUGCGGUGUGGGAUGGGCCCGCGGCCUAUCAGCUUGUUGGUGGGGUGAUGGCCUACCAAGGCGACGACGGGUAGCCGGCCUGAGAGGGUGUCCGGCCACACUGGGACUGAGAUACGGCCCAGACUCCUACGGGAAGCAGCAGUGGGGAAUAUUGCACAAUGGGCGCAAGCCUGAUGCAGCGACGCCGCGUGAGGGAUGACGGCCUUCGGGUUGUAAACCUCUUUCAAUAGGGACGAAGCGCAAGUGACGGUACCUAUAGAAGAAGCACCGGCCAACUACGUGCCAGCAGCCGCGGUAAUACGUAGGGUGCGAGCGUUGUCCGGAAUUACUGGGCGUAAAGAGCUCGUAGGUGGUUUGUCGCGUUGUUCGUGAAAACUCACAGCUUAACUGUGGGCGUGCGGGCGAUACGGGCAGACUGGAGUACUGCAGGGGAGACUGGAAUUCCUGGUGUAGCGGUGGAAUGCGCAGAUAUCAGGAGGAACACCGGUGGCGAAGGCGGGUCUCUG
Molecule: ribosomal RNA, 673 nt
Filed under: uncultured bacterium
Lineage: Bacteria
Description: bacterial SSU rRNA
Rfam family: Bacterial small subunit ribosomal RNA
Source: RNAcentral